Molecule: non-coding RNA, 198 nt
Organism: Chiloscyllium plagiosum (whitespotted bambooshark)
Lineage: Eukaryota; Metazoa; Chordata; Chondrichthyes; Orectolobiformes; Hemiscylliidae
Source: RefSeq, a predicted model, not a curated record
AUAAAAUUAAUUUUUCAAAAUCGGAGGCCAUGCCAAUGGGCGGCUUUCCUAGUAUCUCCCAUCUAUCGGACAGAUCCCACUUUCCCUUUCGGUGGUCUCUGGAGGGUUUCUUAUAUUUAGGCAGUUUUACCACCCCAGUAUUUGGCCAGCUAUACAAGGCUAACUUUGUGCAUUUAUUGGAGAGGAUGGGGAGACCUU